GACAGAGGAUGCAAGCGUUAUCCGGAAUGAUUGGGCGUAAAGCGUCUGUAGGUGGCUUUUUAAGUCUGCCGUCAAAUCCCAGGGCUUAACCCUGGACAGGCGGUGGAAACUACCAAGCUGGAGUACGGUAGGGGCAGGGGGAAUUUCCGGUGGAGCGGUGAAAUGCGCAGAUAUCAGGAAGAACACCCGUGGCUAAGGCGGUUCUCUAGUACGGUACUGACGCUGAGACGCGAAAGCGUGGGGAGCGAACAGG
This 253-nucleotide ribosomal RNA is filed under the name uncultured bacterium. RNAcentral describes it as "partial 16S ribosomal RNA". It matches the Rfam family "Bacterial small subunit ribosomal RNA", at positions 524 to 776 of the family's 1533-position model. The record is from RNAcentral.